GUAAAGAAAGAAGGAGAGAAUCAAGAAACCUACAGAUACGGAGCAGGGGUCAAGGGAGGCAGAGCCAAUGAGCCUACACCAGACAACUAGAUCUGCCAAUGAAGUAUCGAGUAGAGGACUACAGAGCCAGGAAUCAAAAGGUAAUACAGCCAUCAGAUGCUGACCUUGCUACAUUUUCUACAAAUAGAAGAUGAUUCUAUUUGUAGUUUCUGCCAGUUUCUGCAUGGUGCAGGCCUAGCUCAUCACGUUU
RNAcentral lists this long non-coding RNA (250 nucleotides) under Homo sapiens (human). RNAcentral describes it as "HSALNT0233391". The record is from RNAcentral. Lineage: Eukaryota; Metazoa; Chordata; Mammalia; Primates; Hominidae.